Molecule: long non-coding RNA, 11113 nt
Organism: Mobula hypostoma (lesser devil ray)
Lineage: Eukaryota; Metazoa; Chordata; Chondrichthyes; Myliobatiformes; Myliobatidae
Exons: 3
Source: RefSeq, a predicted model, not a curated record
UCAAAGUACAUAGUCACCAUAUACAACUUUGAGAUUCUUGCAAGCAUUCUCAAUAAAUCGAUAAUAGAAAAAUAACCAUAAUAAAAUUAAAGACCCCACCAACUGAGCAUUCACCAGUGUGCAAAAGGCAACAAACUGUGAAAAUACAAAAAAAAAUAAUAAAUAAGCAAUAAAUAUCGAGAACAUGAGAUAAAGAGUCCUGGAAAGUGAGUCCAUAGAUUGUGGGAACAUUUCACUGAUCGGACGAGUGAGAUUGAAUGCAAUUGUCCCCUCUGGUUCAAGAACCUGAUGGUGGAGGGAAAUAACUGUUCUUGAACCUGGAGGGUGUGGGUCCUGAAGCUCCUGUACCAGCUUCCUGAUGGCAGCAGCAAGAAGGGAGCGUGGCCUGGAUGGUGGGGGUCCCUGAUGAUGGAUGCUUCUUUCCUGAAACAAUGCCCCGUGUAGAUGUGCUUAAUGGUGGGGUGGGCUUUACCCAUGAUGAACUGGGCCAUACCUCUACUUACCGUUGGACUUUCUGUUCAAGGGCCUUGUAUUUCCACACUAGUCUGUGAUGCUGCCAGUCAAUAUUCUCUUCAGCACACAGCUAUAGAAGUUUGUCAAAGUUUUGCUAAUUAUCAAGGAAGUAGAGGGACUUUGUUAUAACACCUGUGUGCAGGGCCCAUGUCAGGUACUCUGAAAUGGUAACACUGAGAAAUUUAAAGUUGCUGACCCUCUCCACCUCUGAUCCUCUGAUGAGGACUGGCUCAUGGAAUUCCUGUUUCCUCCUCCUGAAAUCAAUAAUCCGUUCCUUUGUCUUGCUGAUAUUGAGUAAGAGGUUUUGAUUAUGCUGCCACUCAGCCAGAUUUUCAAUCUCCCUCCUAUAUGCUGUUUUGUCAGCACCUUUGAUUCGGCCUACGACAGUGGUGUCAUCAGCAGGCUUGAAUAUGGCUUUGGAGCUCUGCUUAGCCACACAAUCUUAAGUGUAAAGUGAGUAGAGUAAGGGCUGAGCACACAAUCUUGUGGUGCACCGAUGCCAACGGAGAUUGUGGAAAAGAUAUUGUUGCCAAUUUGAAUUAUCUGGGGUCUGCAAGUGAGGAAAUCUAGGGUCCAAUUGUACAAAAAGGUUUUGAAGCUUAUUGAUUAAUUUUGAGGGUAUAAUAGUAAUGAAUGCCAAGCUGUAGUUGAUAAAAAGCAUCCUGAUGUAUGCACCUUUGCUGUCCAGAUGUUCCAGGGUUGAGUGAAUAGCCAUUGAGAUGACAUCUGCUGUGUAUCCGUUGCUCCAGUAGGCAAAUUGGAGCAAAUCCAAGGCACUUCUCAGGCAGGAGUUGAUAUGUUUCAUCACUAACCUCUCAAAACACUUCAUCAUUGUGGAUGUCAGAGCAACUCGGCGAUAGUCAUUGAGACAGCUCUACUACAUUUUUCUUUGGCACCUACGUAUAUAAGUGAAGACUGCUUGAGUUCAAGAGUCAGAAAGUUAUGCUGAGCUCUUGUUGGGUCAGAUCUGGAAUAUUGCGUUCAAUUCUGGUUGCCCCAUUAUAGGAAGGAUGUGGAGGCUUUGGAAAGGGUGCAGAAGAGUUUGACCAGGAUGCUGCCUGGAUUGGAGGGCAUGUGCAUUAAGAGAGGUUGACCAAAUUUGGGUUGUUUUCUCCAGAUUGGAGGAGGUUGAGAGAUCUGAGAGAAGUUUAUAAAAUUAUGAGAGCCAUAGACAGUGCAGGAAGUAUCUUUCUCCCAGAGUUGAAAUAUAUAAUACCACAGGGCAAGCAUUUAAGAUGAGAGGGAAUAAAUUUAAGGAUGUGUGGUGCAAGCUUUUUUUUAAACAGAGUGUUGGGUGCCUGGAAUGUGCUGUCUGGGGUGGAGGUGAAGGAAAACAUGACAGCAGCAUUUAAGAGUGUCUUAGACACAUGUGCAGGAAAUGGUAGGACAUGGACAUUACGAAGGCAGACAGGAUUAGUUUAAUUGGGCGUUUAAUUACUAAUUUAAUUAGUUUGGCCAACAUUGUGGGUUGAAGUGCCUGUUCCUGUCCUGUACUCUUCUAUGUUGUUCAACAUGCAAACUAUACCCUCUUCAAUAUGCCCAUAGGUAAUCAGGAAUGAAGAAUAUCUUCUAUGUUCUUCAACGUGCGAACUAGACCCUCUUCAAUAUUCCCAUAGGUAAUCAGGAAUGAGGAAUAUCUUCUAUAUUCUUCAACGUGCAAACUAGACCCUCUUCAAUAUGCCCAUAGGUAAUCAGGAAUGAGGAAUAUCUAUGUUCUUCAACGUGCAAACUAGACCCUCUUCAAUAUGCCCAUAGGUAAUCAGGAAUGAGGAAUAUCUUCCAUGUUCUUCAACGUGCAAACUAGACCCUCUUCAAUAUGCCCAUAGGUAAUCAGGAAUGAGGAACAUCCAAAAGUUGAAAGAAGAACUUCAGCAAAGUUAAAGAACAACUUAUGAGGUGGAUGAAGGAACAGAUCAUAUGGACAAAAUGUCCUCUUCCUGCUCUGCUGAAGUCAUAGUCCUAACACUUUUUAAAUUAUACAUCUUUCAGAACCCUGAAACAGUAACAUUUAUUGCUCUUCCACAAUCUUCCUUGCUGAACCAUCAGCUGUGGAUGGUUUGCUGUGAGAAACAGGGUAGACUGGAAGUACAGAUUUCCGUCCCUAAUGGAUAUUAAUUUUCCAGAUGGAAUUUUCACUGCAAUUCAACAGCUUUGCAGUUAUUGUAAUUAAAGGGUAUUUUCCAUUCCCACCCACUCCACGUAAUGCUAAAUCAUGAACUGAAUUUAAAUUCCAGAGCAAAUGUGAUGGGAUUUGCACACAGAACUGUGUCCUGUGAUUACUAGUACAUAUGUUUCUUAAUCCAUUCUACCACCUGUUCUUAUAAUAAAUAAGGUGACCUAGUAAUAUUAAACAGGAAUCACAACCUGUGCCAUGUGCUAAUGAGGCCAGAAAUAGAAAGAUCAUACAGUUUUAACAUGUGGCUAAGGAGCUGGUAUAGGCAGAAGGAUGUCAGAUUUUUGAAUCAUAUGGCUCUCUUCCAAGGACGGUGGGACCUGUAUGGACAGUUUGCAUUUGAACUGGAGGGAACUAAUAUCCUUGUGGGAAAAUUUGCUAGUGCUGCACAGGAUGGUUUAAACCAGAGUUGCAGGGGGAUGGGAACCAGAAUGCCCGAACAGAUAGUGAAGAAGUUGUAGAGAUAGAUGUUGCUAAGACCUCAGACAAAGUCAGGAAUCGAAAGGUUGACCAUAGUGCGAGUAAUGUUCUGAGCCACAUAUAUUUCAAUGCAAGAAAUAUUGUAGGAAAGGCAGAUGAGCUCAGGGCAUAGAUCAACACAUGAUAUUAUGAUAUUGCAGCCAUUAGUGAGGGUUGGAUGCAGAAGGGGCAGGACUGGGAACUCAACAUUCCGGGGUUCCGUUCUUUUAUAUGUGACAGAGUGGGAAGGAUUAAAGGGGGAGGGGCUGGCAUUAGAAGUCAGGGAAAAUGUCCCACGGCAGUGCUCAGUCAGGACAGACUGGAGAACUCGUCUAGUGAGGUUUUAUGGGUGGGAAUGAAGAAUGAGAAAGAUAUGACCACAUUAACAGGGCUGUAAUAUGAACCACCCAAUAAUAUGCUGGAUUUAAAGGAAUAAAUUCACAGAGAGAUUGCAGACUGUGGCAAGAAACAUAAGGUUGUUAUGAUAGAUUAUUUUAUCUUUCUACAUAUUGACUGGGACACCCAUACUGUAAAACGUCUAGAUGCAACUGAGUUUGUCAAAUGUGUUCAGGGAAGUUUCCUUAAUCAGUAUAUACAAGUCCCAAUGAGAGAGUAUGCAAUUCUUGAUCUGUCAUUAGAGAAUGAAACAGGGCAGGAGACUGAAGUCGGUAGGGGAACACUUUGCAUCUAGUGAUUGUAAUGCCAUUAGUUUCACGGUAAUUAUGGAAAAGGACAGGCUGAUCCACGGGUUGAGAUCCUAAAUUGGAGAAAGGCCAGUUUUGAUUGUAUAAGGUAGGAUUUGGCAAAUGUGAACUGGGACUGUUUUUUCUGGCAAAGGUGUACUGGGUCAGUGGAAGACGUUCAAAAGUGAACUUUUGAGAGUAUAAAGCUUGUAUGUGCCUUUCAAAAUGAAAGGUAAAGAUAACAGGUUUAGGGAACCUUGGUUUUUUAAGAGAUAUUCAGGCCCUGGUUAAGAGAAAAAAAUGUAUAGGCAGUUAAGAAUAAACGAGGUACUUAUGGAGUACCUAUAAGAAAUUACUUAUAAGAAAUUCAAGAGAACACUUAAGAAAGAAAUCAGGAGGGCUAAAAGAAGGCAUGAAUUUGCCCUAGCAGACAAGGGGAAGGAGAAUCCUAAGGGAUUCUACAGAUAUGUUAAGAGCAAACGGAUCGCAAGGGACAAAAUUGGUCCUCAGGAGGAUCCAAAUGGUAGUCUAGCCAAAAGAGAUGGGGCAGAUCUUUAAUGGAUUCUUUGCAUCCGUAUUUACUCAGGAGAUGGACACAGAGCCUAUAGAAGUGAGGCAAAGCAGCAGUAAGGUCAUGGACUCAGUACAGACUAUAGAGGAGAUAUUUGGUAUCCAGAGACAAAUUAACAUAGAAACAUAGAAAAUAGGUGCAGGAGUAGGCCAUUCGGCCCUUCGAGCCUGCACCGCCAUUUAUUAUGAUCAUGGCUGAUCAUCCAACUCAGAACCCCGCCCCAGCCUUCCCUCCAUACCCCCUGACCCCUGUAGCCACAAGGGCCAUAUUAAGGUGGAUAAAUCCCCAGGGUCUGAGAAGGUGUUCGUUUGGACCCUGUGGGAGGCAAGUGCAGAAACCACAGGGGCCCUAGCAGAGAUAUUUAUAUUAGCCUUAGCGACAGGUGAGAUACCGAAGGAUUGGAGGAGAGCUAAUGUUGUUCUGCUGUUUAAGAAAGGCUCUAAAAAUAAACCAGGGAAUUAUAGGCCAGUGAGCCUGUCAUCAAUAAUGGGAAAGUUACUGAAGGGUAUUCUAAGGGAUCGGAUAUAUGUAUGUAUCUGGAUAAGCAUGGACUGAUUAAGGAUAGUCAGUGUGGCAGGUUGCAUGGUAUGUCACGUCAAGCCAAUCUCAGAGUUUUUUGAGGAAGUUACCAGGAAAGUGGAUGAAGGCAAGAGAGCGGAUGUCAUCUACAUGGACUUUAGCAAAGGCAUUUGACAAGGUCCUAUGUGGGAGGUUGAUCGGGAAGGUUCAGUCAUUGGGCAUUGAAGAUCAGAGAGCAAGUUGGAUUAGACAUUGGCUUUGUGGGAGAAGCCAGAGAUUGAUAAUAGAUGGUUGCCUCGCUGACUGGGGGCCUAUGAGUAUGGAGUGCCGCAGGGAUCAGUGCAGUGCCCAUUAUUGUUUAUCAUCCACAUCAGUAAUUUGGAUGAUAAUAUGGUUUAGUGGAUCAGCAAAUUUGCAGAUGACAUCAAGACUAGGGGUAUAGUGGAUAAUGAGGAAGACUAUCAGAACUUGCAGUUGUGACAAGAAUACACAUAGAUGUUAGCUGUCCUGUGUGAUAAGCAGUUGGUCUGCCACCUGUCUUCGGGAGAGAGAGAGAGAUAAGGAAGACAAUGGAGCAGCAUUUGGAGAUGUGUAAUGAAGGGACGGGAGAGAGAGCUGUCUAGAGCGGCUCCCCCUUUGAACCCUGAACUGUUUGAAGUGAUGGACAGGCGAUUUGGAGAUGUGUAAUGAAGGGACGGGAGAGAGAGCUGUCUAGAGCGGCUCCCCCUUUGAACCCUGAAUUGUUUGAAGUGAUGGACGGGCGAUACCCCAGCAGGGGGAUAAAAAGGGACAGGUUCGCUAAGGCAGGACACACACGACACCACGAGGUAACGAGACCCUGGAAGCGGUGCCCCCCCCCGCAAGUCGGCAGGAGUCGUUUGGAAGGCUGGCUGCGGAACCAAGCCUUAGACGCACAGGGUGGAAAGGUACGAUCAGCGGGAACCCGGUGUGUUUCCGCCCUUGCUUGGGUGCCAGGUUCACUGCAGAGGAUCGACCGCAUCUGGAGGAGGGGUCACAGUCGGUGACCUCAGGUGACAUCACAAAGGACUCGCCCGAAAAGCUGCUUGUGAGCAAUAUCGCAGGUCUGUGUGUGGAAGCCGUUUUGAAUGAUCAUUCGUUCUUGUUCUCUCUCUCCUUCCCCCAACAUUGUCCAUCGCCAUGGCAACGAUUACUGCGAACUGAACUAAAAUGGACUGAACUUUGUGUCACUUUGAAAUUGGUCAUUUACCCCUAGACAACGAUAGAGCUUGAUUGAUCCUGUUAUCUUAAUUCUGUGCACAUGUGUGUUUAUCAUUGCUGAACUGUUGCAUUUAUUAUCCUUUCGAUUACUGUGUUGCUUGUUUCUUUAAUAAAACUUUCUUACAUCUAGUAAUCCAGACUCCAACUGAGUGAUCCAUUUCUGCUGGUUUGGCAACCCAGUUACAGGGUACGUAACACAGUGAAUGUGGACAAGGUGGAAAAAUGGAAUCUAAUGCAGACAAGUGCGAGGUGUUGCACUUCAGCAGGACCAGGUAGCACAGGCCACUGAGGAGUGUGGUAGAACAAAGGGAUCUGGGAAUACAGGUCCAUCAGAGGAUUAUUAGAAUGGGGGAACGCGCUGUCAGCGUUAAGUGGCGUGUGCAAGCUUGAUUUCAAUGUUUAAGAGAAGUUUGGAUAGGCCCAUGGACAGUAGGGGUUCAUGGCCCAGGUGCCAGUCGAUGGGACUAGGCAGUAAAUGGUUUGGUAUGGACGAGAUGGGCUGAAGGGUCUGUUUCUGUUCGCUGACUAUUAUAUAAUGAUUCCAGGGACGUGCUUAAAAUUCCAGUUUAACCGGUUCUGGACGACAAACUGAAAAAGGAAACACUCCGGCAUCAACACGUCUGCAGCACCGGAUAUACUUGAUUGGACACAGCAAGGAAAGCAGAUUCCUUGCGGCACACGCUGAUAUUGCUUACUGCUUUCAGCCGGACGCUACCGAGACAGCUAAGUGGUCAUAUCUAGAUUCAAUCUGGGCUUUACCAAUAUGAAAAUUUAAAACAAUGACAGAUUUUUGUACCCGAAGGGGAACGUAGGAGCUCAUUUUUAGACAUUGUUUACCACAACCAUACAGGAAAAUGCACAGGGAGUUGUUAACACAGCUAUUCGCUGGGAAAUUAAACCACGUCCGGAAGUUUAUUAACGUUCCUGAUUCACGAAGGGAGGGGGAAGACAACGUUCCUUCCAAUCACGAGUAAUACAUAUAGGGUUCUCAGUAAUAUUAAAUGUAAUGUUAGUUGCCAAUAAUACAAUGACUUCUCUGUAAUGUUAACUGAUGAGGUAAUGUUUCUUUGUAGCUGAAAUAUUUGGGUUAUAACUAUAGACAACGGGGAACUAACCAAUGGAAGUCACGUUAUUCUAUCUGUAUGUGUGGGAACCCGAGUGAGUGCGCGGGAUUUUCGGCGUGGAGAGGCGAAGAGGAAGGACGUGCGGGAAGCGCUCUGGUAGACCACCGUCGUUGGGCCCAGUCCGAGGGUCGCGGAGUUCGGAGGAGAUCGAGUGGCGGAGAGAAGACCCUGUUCCUUGAGCUCCAAUGAUUGUGCAGGACUGUUUAACUUUGAUAAGCGUGGCGCCUUUUUCUUUUAUAUUUUGUUUCGCCACUGACCACAUAGUCACAGUAAGAUUUAUAAAGUGUAAUGUCUGAUUUUUGCAUUGUGGGUUUGUACAUUACACAGCAUCCACACAAAUUUGAUUACCCAGGGUGGCGGGGCUGAGAGCGCUUCCCCAAGGCGAACACGAGCCGAGCGAGUCGGAGGCUUACAUAUAAAAGAUUUAAUGACCUUGCUGUCAACUCUAUUAAUAUAAUUUGCACUUUCUCUGACUGCCUGACUCCACGUAGCACAGAGUCCAAACCCAACACGACUCCGCUCGUCGUCCUUCCGCAACCUCUGAUUUCAUCGCUUUACAUCACGUGCCGGGGUUUCCCGUAAAUCGCCAAACGGCCUCCCAAGGCUCUGAAUACUUCGGGAUUCCCAGCGACACAAACCCCUGUCUCCGGAUCAGUAGCCGGAUUUUCCAUGACAUAACCAUUGCAAAUUCCUUAAAGUACUAUAUAAAAAUUUAUAAAUACAUCCCCGAAACAGAACUAAACUAUUUAAUAGCAAGCACAGCUGCACCGAAAACUAAUGAUUGCAGUAAAAUUUCAACUGGAAUAACUUUGAUGUAUGACUGCUUUAGUACAGCCAAAUAAAUUAUAUCACAAAAUAAAUGUCUGAAGCAAUUUAAUAAACGCAAAAGUUAAAUGUUCCGAAUGCUGGAAAUUUAGCAAAAUAGUAAAACACAUCAGAAACCCCGAAGAGGCAAGGAAUAGCCUCCCUGAGCAAAGAGAAGGAUAUUAGAGGUGAACAUAUUAAACUGAAAAUGCUGCCAACACGCAGGUCUGGCAGUAUGUGUAAAAAGAGGUGCAGACCUAAUGGUUUAGGGCGGUAGAAAAAGACUCUGACUUGAACCCUUAAACCAGAUGCUGCAUAGCCUACUGAGUAUUUCCAGUGUUUUCUAUUUUUAUUUUUAUAUUCCAAAAUCUGCAGUUUUAAAUCUUCAUUUAGAGCUGCGGUUUCAAGAUGAACUUUUUUACUCCGGAGGGUCUUAGAGAAAUGAGGUCUAAUGGAAAAAGUAAAUAAAUUCCGUGAUAUUAUGUAAAUUGGAAGCAGAUCAGUGAUAAAAUUAAUAAUAAUGCAAAGCAAAAUGGGGAAAUUGUAGAAAAUAUGUCCAGAAGAGGAAUAAAUGAUGAACAGAGUAGCUCAAUUAAGGGGAAGAUCUGGUAGGGACAAGUACGAGCGGUGAUUGAUAAGUUCGUGGCCUAAGGCAGAAGGAGUCAAUUUUAGAAAACCUAGCACAUUUCUUUUUCAACAUAGUCCCCUGCUACAUGUACACACUUAGUCCAGCGGCCGUGGAGCAAACGGAUCCCUUCUUUGUAGAAGUGGUCCACAGCAGGAGUGAUUGGUAAGUUCGUGGCCCAAGGUAGAAGGAGAUGAGUUAUACAGCUCUUGCAACAUGCGCAUGCUGUUCAACUCAGUGAAAAUGCGGAACGUUUGAAGUUUUUCCUCAUCUCCGUCUACCUUAGGCCACGAACUUAUCAAUCACCCCUGUAUAAGGUGCACAAUUUCAAAUAUAAAUAUGAAUAAAAGAAACACAAAUUGCAGUUGGCACUGGUUAUCUGCUGCACCAUUCAAUAAGAUCAUCACCAAUCCUUUAUUUCAGCAUCACUUUCCUGCACUGACCCCUAAUUCCUAGAUAUGACUUCCCAGUGACGAUAUUUCUCCUCACCUCAUUCCUGAAAUGUCAACUUUAUUUGCCCCUGGUUCUCGAGAUCCCAGUUAACAGAAACAACCCUGUCAAGCUUCAGAGGCCUUAAAAAAAUAUCUUUCAGAGAAAUCACCUCUAUUUCUUCUAAACACUAAGAAAUAUAGGUUUAUUCUGCUUACUCUCUCUUCAUUGGAUAAUUUCCUUUUGAGAAAUCGAUUUUCUUUCUACUUUCUCUAUCUAGAUGUGUGAUGAAGGGACGGGAGAGAGAGCUGUCUAGAGCGGCUCCCCCUUUGAACCCUGAACUGUUUGAAGUGAUGGACGGGCGAUACCCCAGCAGGGGGAUAAAAAGGGACAGGUUCGCUAAGGCAGGACACACACGACACCACGAGGUAACGAGACCCUGGAAGCGGUGCCCCCCCCGCAAGUCGGCGGGAGUCAUUUGGAAGGCUGGUUGCGGAACCAAGCCUUAGACGCACAGGGUGGAAAGGUACGAUCAGCGGGAACCCGGUGUGUGUCCGCCCUUGCUUGGGUGCCAGGUUCACUGCAGAGGAUCGACCGCAUCUGGGGGAGGGGUCACAGUCGGUGACCUCAGGUGACAUCACAAAGGACUCGAACGAAAAGCUGCUUGUGAGCAAUAUCGCAGGUCAUUUAUAAAAAUCACGAAAAGAAGGGGUCCCAGAACAGAUCCCUGAGGCACACCACUCGUCAGCAGUCUCCAUGCAGAAUAUGACCCGUCUACAACCACUCUUUGCCUUCUAUGGGUAGGUGAUGAAAACUGCACACAAUAUUCCAAAUUAUUUGGACAAGUCAGUGAGCACUGUGAGGGUCAUGUUUUUUGACUUCUCCAGUGCGUUCAACACCAUCCGCUCUGCUCUGCUGGGGGAGAAGCUGACAGUGCUGGUAUCAUGGUGUCAUGGAUUCUUGAUUACUGGACUGGCAGACCACAGUACAUGUGCUUGCAACACUGUGUGUCCGACAGAGUGAUCAGCAGCACUGGGGCUCCACAGGGGACUGUCUUGUCUCCCUUUCUCUUCACCAUUUACACCUCGGACGUCAACUUCUGCGCAGAGUCUUGUCAUCUACAGAAGUUUUCGGAUGACUCUGCCAUAGUUGGAUGCAUCAGCAAGGGAGAUGAGGUUGAGUACAGGGCUACGGUAGGAAACUUUGUCACAUGGUGUGAGCAGAAUUAUCUGCAGCUUAAUGUGAAAAAGACUAAGGAGCUGGUGGUAGACCUGAGGAGAGCUAAGGUACUGGUGACCCCUGUUUCCAUCCAAGGGGUCAGUGUGGACAUGGUGGAGGAUUACAAAUACCUGGGGAUACGAAUUGACAAUAAACUGGACUAAUCAAAGAACACUGAGGUUGUCUACAAGAAGGGUCAGAGCUGUCUCUAUUUCCUGAGGAGACUGAGGUCCUUUAACAUCUGCCGGACAAUGCUGAGGAUGUUCUUCGAGUCUGUGGUGGCCAGUGCUAUCAUGUUUGCUGUUGUGUGCUGGGGCAGCAGGCUGAGGGUCGCAGACACCAACAGAAUCAACGAACUCAUUCGUAAGGCCAGUGAUGUUUUGGCGAUGGAACUGGACUCUCUCACGGUGGUGUCUGAAAAGAGGAUGCUGUCUAAGUUGCAUGCCAUCUUGGUCAAUGUCUCCCAUCCACUACAUAAUGUACUUGGUGGGCACAGGAGUACAUUCAGCCAGAGACUCAUUCCACCGAGAUGCAACACAGAGCGUCAUAGGAAGUCAUUCCUGCCUGUGGCCAUCAAACUUUAAAACUCCUCCCUUGGAGGGUCAGACACCCCGAGCCAAUAGGCUGGUCCUGGACUUAUUUCAUAACUUACUGGCAUAAUUUACAUAUUACUAUUUAACUAUUUAUGGUUCUAUUACUAUUUAUUAUUUACGGUGCAACUGUAAUGAAAACCAAUUUACCCCGGGAUCAAUAAAG